This 87-nucleotide small nuclear RNA is filed under the name Brassica napus (rape). The record is from RNAcentral. Lineage: Eukaryota; Viridiplantae; Streptophyta; Magnoliopsida; Brassicales; Brassicaceae.
GUUCCUUGGGAACAUCUGAUAAAGAAAAGAUUAGCAUGACCACUGCGCAAAUAUGACAUACACAAAUCUAAAAUAAUCUAAAAUUUU